GACAGAGGUGCCAAGCGUUAGGCGGAAUCACUGGGCUUAAAGCGUGUGUAGGCGGAUUGGUAAGUACCUUGUGAAAUCCCACGGCUCAACCGUGGAACUGCUGGGUAUACUGGCGGUCUUGAGCCACCUAGGGGCAACUGGAACAAGCGGUGGAGCGGUGAAAUGCGUAGAUAUCGCUUGGAACGCCAACGGUGAAAACAGGUUGCUGGGGGUGUGCUGACGCUGAGACACGAAAGCCAGGGGAGCGAACGGG
Molecule: ribosomal RNA, 253 nt
Filed under: uncultured bacterium
Lineage: Bacteria
Description: partial 16S ribosomal RNA
Rfam family: Bacterial small subunit ribosomal RNA
Source: RNAcentral